ACUUUUUCUAAAAAAACAAAAAACAGAACGCUGCUUUUUAACGCAGCAAACGCAGCAAACGCAGCAGAGAAAUAGAAAAUUCAAGGGUUCCUUACAAACCACUAAUCCUUGAACUCAGAAUCGAUUAUUUGACUGGUAUCAAUUGGACUGGGACCUACGUAUUGGUUCGAGAAAUUUUGAGGAACCGGAUUUGCAGGCGAGCAGGCUACGAGUUAGGAUUUCCUUCCCUUCCAGUGAUAUUGAUAUGGAGCAUUUAGAGGCCGGUUCGAGGGGAAAAGGCAUCACGGGCUAGAGUUUGGGCUGGAUUGAGGAGUCUCGGGGCGCGAUAGUGAGUGCUGAUCAGUCUUCCAACAGGUCUCCGGAGUUGACUAGGUAGCUGUUUGGCGUUCGCAGCCCAGUGCUUCUCCUUCCUGUCUUAUUUAGAUUGUCUUAGUAUUUUAUUUUCGAACUAUGUUGUCCUUUCUUGUUCCUAGAUGAGUUGUAGUUGCUCAUGAUUGGUGACACCCCGUUGUCGGGCUUGUGUUAUAUUUUCGCACUGCUUAUUUUAACUUACAUUAUGGGAUUAUAGUUAAUUUAUAGCUUAAAAUGACUUAUUACGAA
This is a long non-coding RNA of Nicotiana tabacum (common tobacco), 600 nucleotides long. RefSeq lists it as uncharacterized. NCBI's taxonomy places the organism in Eukaryota, Viridiplantae, Streptophyta, Magnoliopsida, Solanales, Solanaceae. The record is from RefSeq and is a predicted model, not a curated record.